RNAcentral lists this ribosomal RNA (391 nucleotides) under uncultured bacterium. RNAcentral describes it as "bacterial SSU rRNA". It matches the Rfam family "Bacterial small subunit ribosomal RNA", at positions 28 to 420 of the family's 1533-position model. The record is from RNAcentral.
GACGAACGCUGGCGGCGUGCUUAACACAUGCAAGUCGAGCGGUAAGGCCCUUUCGGGGGUACACGAGCGGCGAACGGGUGAGUAACACGUGGGUGACCUGCCCUCAGCUCUGGGAUAAGCCUGGGAAACUGGGUCUAAUACUGGAUAUGACUCCACGGUGCAUGUCGUGGGGUGGAAAGCCUUGUGCGGCUGAGGAUGGGGCCCGCGGCCUAUCAGCUUGUUGGGGGGUGAUGGCCUACCAAGGCGACGACGGGUAGCCGGCCUGAGAGGGCGACCGGCCACACUGGGACUGAGACACGGCCCAGACUCCUACGGGAGGCAGCAGUGGGGAAUCUUGCGCAAUGGGCGAAAGCCUGACGCAGCGACGCCGCGUGAGGGAUGACGGCCUGGU